CCUACGGGAGGCAGCAGUGGGGAAUUUUGGACAAUGGGCGCAAGCCUGAUCCAGCAAUGCCGCGUGCAGGAUGAAGGCCUUCGGGUUGUAAACUGCUUUUGUACGGAACGAAAAGGCUCUUUUUAAUAAAGAGGGCUCAUGACGGUACCGUAAGAAUAAGCACCGGCUAACUACGUGCCAGCAGCCGCGGUAAUACGUAGGGUGCGAGCGUUAAUCGGAAUUACUGGGCGUAAAGCGUGCGCAGGCGGUUUUGUAAGACAGAUGUGAAAUCCCCGGGCUCAACCUGGGACCUGCAUUUGUGACUGCAAGGCUAGAGUACGGUAGAGGGGGAUGGAAUUCCGCGUGUAGCAGUGAAAUGCGUAGAUAUGCGGAGGAACACCGAUGGCGAAGGCAAUCCCCUGGACCUGUACUGACGCUCAUGCACGAAAGCGUGGGGAGCAAACAGGAUUAGAUACCCUGGUAGUC
This 465-nucleotide ribosomal RNA is filed under the name uncultured Rhodoferax sp. Its description in RNAcentral is "bacterial SSU rRNA". It matches the Rfam family "Bacterial small subunit ribosomal RNA", at positions 338 to 795 of the family's 1533-position model. The record is from RNAcentral. Lineage: Bacteria; Pseudomonadati; Pseudomonadota; Betaproteobacteria; Burkholderiales; Comamonadaceae.